ACGGUCCUAGCGGGAGGCAGGGCAGUAGGGGAAUAUUGCACAAUGGGCGCAAGCCUGAUGCAGCCAUGCCGCGUGUAUGAAGAAGGCCUUCGGGUUGUAAAGUACUUUCAGCAGUGAGGAAGGUGGGUGUGUUAAUAGCAUACUCAUUUGACGUUAGCUGCAGAAGAAGCACCGGCUAACUCCGUGCCAGCAGCCGCGGUAAUACGGAGGGUGCGAGCGUUAAUCGGAAUUACUGGGCGUAAAGCGCAUGCAGGUGGUUUGUUAAGUCAGAUGUGAAAGCCCGGGGCUCAACCUCGGAAUUGCAUUUGAAACUGGCAAACUAGAGUACUGUAGAGGGGGGUAGAAUUUCAGGUGUAGCGGUGAAAUGCGUAGAGAUCUGAAGGAAUACCGGUGGCGAAGGCGGCCCCCUGGACAGAUACUGACACUCAGAUGCGAAAGCGUGGGGAGCAAACAGGAUUAGAUACCCUGGUAGCUAC
This 476-nucleotide ribosomal RNA is filed under the name uncultured bacterium. RNAcentral describes it as "bacterial SSU rRNA". It matches the Rfam family "Bacterial small subunit ribosomal RNA", at positions 326 to 798 of the family's 1533-position model. The record is from RNAcentral.